RNAcentral lists this ribosomal RNA (460 nucleotides) under uncultured bacterium. RNAcentral describes it as "partial 16S ribosomal RNA". It matches the Rfam family "Bacterial small subunit ribosomal RNA", at positions 338 to 795 of the family's 1533-position model. The record is from RNAcentral.
CCUACGGGAGGCAGCAGUGAGGAAUAUUGGUCAAUGGACGAGAGUCUGAACCAGCCAAGUAGCGUGAAGGAUGACUGCCCUAUGGGUUGUAAACUUCUUUUAUAUGGGAAUAAAAUGUUCCACGUGUGGGAUUUUGUAUGUACCAGAUGAAUAAGGAUAGGGUAACUCCGUGCCAGCAGCCGCGGUAAUACGGAGGAUCCGAGCUUUAUUCGGAUUUAUUGGGUUUCAAGGGAGCGUAGGUGGAUUGUUAAGUCAGUUGUGAAAGUUUGCGGCUCAACCGUAAAAUUGCAGUUGAAACUGGCAGUCUUGAGUACAGUAGAGGUGGGCGGAAUUCGUGGUGUAGCGGUGAAAUGCUUAGAUAUCACGAAGAACUCCGAUUGCGAAGGCAGUUCACUGGACUGCAACUGACACUGAGGCUCGAAAGUGUGGGUAUCAAACAGGAUUAGAUACCCCUGUAGUC